GGGGCCGUAGCUCAGUCGGGAGAGCGCUUGAAUGGCAUUCAAGAGGUCAGGGGUUCGAUUCCCCUCGGCUCC
RNAcentral lists this transfer RNA (72 nucleotides) under Longimicrobiales bacterium. RNAcentral's name for it is "tRNA-Ala". It matches the Rfam family "tRNA". Rfam says of the family: Transfer RNA (tRNA) molecules are approximately 80 nucleotides in length. Their secondary structure includes four short double-helical elements and three loops (D, anti-codon, and T loops). The record is from RNAcentral. Lineage: Bacteria; Pseudomonadati; Gemmatimonadota; Longimicrobiia; Longimicrobiales.